This is a long non-coding RNA of Silurus meridionalis, 250 nucleotides long. RefSeq lists it as uncharacterized. The record is from RefSeq and is a predicted model, not a curated record. The transcript is spliced from 3 exons. Lineage: Eukaryota; Metazoa; Chordata; Actinopteri; Siluriformes; Siluridae.
UGUGUCUCAGAUGGUCCUCAUUUUAUUAUCAUCAUCAUCAUCAUCAUCAUCAUCAUGAGUGUGGUGUGUGUGAGAGAUGUGUCUCAGACGGUUCCUCUUCAUCAUCUUUAUCAUCGUCCUCAUCGCUGUCAUUACAGGUCCUCGUCAUCAUAAUCUUCUUCAUCUUCAUCAGCAGCAGCACUCUCAAAUGAAGGAGAAUGCUGAGGAUGGAGACACCAGGAAGGAGGAAAAGAGGAAGAUCAAGGAGGAG